Molecule: ribosomal RNA, 510 nt
Filed under: uncultured bacterium
Lineage: Bacteria
Description: partial 16S ribosomal RNA
Rfam family: Bacterial small subunit ribosomal RNA
Source: RNAcentral
GACGAACGCUGGCGGCGUGCUUAACACAUGCAAGUCGAACGAAGAGCGACGGACGCUUGCUUCUAUCAAUCUUAGUGGCGCACGGGUGUGUCACGCGUAAUCAACCUGCCCUUCAGAGGGGUACAACAGUUGGAAACGACUUCUAAUACCGCAUACGAUCUAAUCUCGGCAUCGAGGAUGGAUGAAAGGUGGCCUCUACAUGUAAGCUAUCACUGACGGAGGGUAUUGCGUCUGAUUAGCUAGUUGGAGGGGUAACGGCCCACCAAGGCGAUGAUCAGUAGCCGGUCUGAGAGGAGGAACGGCCACAUUGGGACUGAGACACGGCCCAGACUCCUACGGGAGGCAGCAGUGGGGAAUAUUCCGCAAUGGACGAAAGUCUGACGGAGCAACGCCGCGUGAGUGAUGACGGACUUCGGGUUGUAAAGAUAUGUUAAUAGGGACGAAAGGCAUUCUUGCGAAUAGUGAGAAGGAUUGACGGUACAGGAAUAGAAAGCCACGGCUAAAUACGUG